This 26-nucleotide unclassified non-coding RNA is filed under the name Mus musculus (house mouse). Its description in RNAcentral is "oocyte_clustered_small_RNA644". The record is from RNAcentral. Lineage: Eukaryota; Metazoa; Chordata; Mammalia; Rodentia; Muridae.
UCCUUCUAGCCCAUCUCUGAAAAGUU